UACGGAGGGUGCAAGCGUUAAUCGGAAUUACUGGGCGUAAAGCGUGCGCAGGCGGUUUGUUAAGUCCGUUGUGAAAGCCCCGAGCUCAACUUGGGAAUUGCAGUGGAUACUGGCAGGCUGGAGUACGGUAGAGGAAGGUGGAAUUCCCGGUGUAGCAGUGAAAUGCGUAGAGAUGUGGAGGAACACCAAUGGCGAAGGCAGCCUUCUGGGCCAACACUGACGCUCAUGCACGAAAGCGUGGGGAGCAAACAGG
RNAcentral lists this ribosomal RNA (253 nucleotides) under uncultured bacterium. RNAcentral's name for it is "partial 16S ribosomal RNA". It matches the Rfam family "Bacterial small subunit ribosomal RNA", at positions 524 to 776 of the family's 1533-position model. The record is from RNAcentral.